Long non-coding RNA from Octopus sinensis (East Asian common octopus), 119 nucleotides. RefSeq lists it as uncharacterized. NCBI's taxonomy places the organism in Eukaryota, Metazoa, Mollusca, Cephalopoda, Octopoda, Octopodidae. The transcript is spliced from 3 exons. The record is from RefSeq and is a predicted model, not a curated record.
AGACAGAUGUAGUGAGUGAACGGUGGAGCAGAAAUGGCACGAGACCAGGGUGUUGUUGCCGAGUCUGAUGUCUCGGAGGUGUUCCAUGAACCAGUCAGCCAAGUGGUGUCCCGUUUGAU